UACGUAGGUGGCGAGCGUUGUCCGGAAUUACUGGGCGUAAAGAGCGCGCAGGCGGCUGGUCAAGUCCGACGUGAAAUCUCCCGGCUUAACUGGGAAAUUGCAUCGGAAACUGAUCGGCUUGAAGGUGGGAGAGGGUAGCGGAAUUCCCGGUGUAGUGGUGAAAUGCGUAGAUAUCGGGAGGAACACCAGUGGCGAAGGCGGCUAUCUGGACGACAACUGACGCUGAGGCGCGAAAGCGUGGGGAUCGAACAGG
Molecule: ribosomal RNA, 253 nt
Filed under: uncultured bacterium
Lineage: Bacteria
Description: partial 16S ribosomal RNA
Rfam family: Bacterial small subunit ribosomal RNA
Source: RNAcentral